This 568-nucleotide ribosomal RNA is filed under the name uncultured bacterium. Its description in RNAcentral is "bacterial SSU rRNA". It matches the Rfam family "Bacterial small subunit ribosomal RNA", at positions 243 to 828 of the family's 1533-position model. The record is from RNAcentral.
AGUUUGUUGGUAGGGUAAUGGCCUACCAAGACUAUGAUCAAUAGCUGAUUUGAGAGGAUGAUCAGCCACAUUGGGACUGAGACACGGCCCAAACUCCUACGGGAGGCAGCAGUGGGGAAUCUUGCACAAUGGAGGAAACUCUGAUGCAGCGAUGCCGCGUGAGUGAAGAAGGCCUUUGGGUUGUAAAGCUCUUUCGUCGGGGAAGAAAAUGACUGUACCCGAAUAAGAAGGUCCGGCUAACUUCGUGCCAGCAGCCGCGGUAAUACGAAGGGACCUAGCGUAGUUCGGAAUUACUGGGCUUAAAGAGUUCGUAGGUGGUUGAAAAAGUUGGUGGUGAAAUCCCAGAGCUUAACUCUGGAACUGCCAUCAAAACUUUUCAGCUAGAGUAUGAUAGAGGAAAGCAGAAUUUCUAGUGUAGAGGUGAAAUUCGUAGAUAUUAGAAAGAAUACCAAUUGCGAAGGCAGCUUUCUGGAUCAUUACUGACACUGAGGAACGAAAGCAUGGGUAGCGAAGAGGAUUAGAUACCCUCGUAGUCCAUGCCGUAAACGAUGUGUGUUAGACGUUGGAA